GGUACAUAGCUUAGUUGGUAGAGUGUUUGCCUCCCAUGCAUAAGGCCCUGGGUUCAAUCUUCAGCACCA
This 69-nucleotide transfer RNA is filed under the name Marmota marmota marmota (Alpine marmot). It matches the Rfam family "tRNA". From Rfam's summary of the family: Transfer RNA (tRNA) molecules are approximately 80 nucleotides in length. Their secondary structure includes four short double-helical elements and three loops (D, anti-codon, and T loops). Lineage: Eukaryota; Metazoa; Chordata; Mammalia; Rodentia; Sciuridae. The record is from Rfam by way of RNAcentral. RNAcentral also lists the same sequence under 1 other name.